RNAcentral lists this ribosomal RNA (253 nucleotides) under uncultured bacterium. RNAcentral describes it as "partial 16S ribosomal RNA". It matches the Rfam family "Bacterial small subunit ribosomal RNA", at positions 524 to 776 of the family's 1533-position model. The record is from RNAcentral.
UACGGAGGGGGCUAGCGUUGUUCGGAAUUACUGGGCGUAAAGCGCGCGUAGGCGGACUGGAAAGUUGGGGGUGAAAUCCCGGGGCUCAACCUCGGAACUGCCUCCAAAACUAUCAGUCUGGAGUUCGAGAGAGGUGAGUGGAAUUCCGAGUGUAGAGGUGAAAUUCGUAGAUAUUCGGAGGAACACCAGUGGCGAAGGCGGCUCACUGGCUCGAUACUGACGCUGAGGUGCGAAAGCGUGGGGAGCAAACAGG